Molecule: long non-coding RNA, 1408 nt
Organism: Hypomesus transpacificus
Lineage: Eukaryota; Metazoa; Chordata; Actinopteri; Osmeriformes; Osmeridae
Exons: 2
Source: RefSeq, a predicted model, not a curated record
GGGAUGGUUCUCCCCUGGAGGAGGAAGGAGGGAUGGUUCUCCCCUGGAGGAGGAAGGAGAGAUGGCGCUCAACGUAAGAGAAAUGGAGGAGCAGCUAAAGGAUGUGCACUUGGGAGCAGCAUGGGGGAGGAGGUCAAGAGAGUGCUGCUUCUAAAAAUAGAAACGAGGAAGUUAAACUUGCAUACCACAACGCCACGCAUAGGUAACACCUUCCUACUACAAUGUCCUUCCUCAAAGCUGCUUGCAUCAUUUCUACACAAACAACAAGCAGUAAAAUCCAAAAACGUUUCCUACUUUGUACUGUAAAAAAAAGCGAAGAAACAUUUUCAACCCACUAGAUGGUAGCAUUGCUACGUACGAAUGACAUGACCACUUUUUAGACACUAUUUACAUGAAAGAUUCUUAAUUCUUCACAUUAAUUUCAAGUGGUUCUCUUUAAACGUCCUUUAAUGUGGAUUAUUGCUAUGAUCUGUCUGACCUAAUGAUUCCUAAUAAGACUCCUGAGUCUAUCCUCUCAACCAACCAGAAUCAUCCAGCCUGGGACAGCUUGUGGACCUAUAUCACUCCUCCCCCUCAGUGUGUUUACAGGUCUCGUCCUGCUAAGAACCAGACAAAAUCAUUCGAAGCCACGUGUCUUUGUCCCAGCUGGUUGACAAGCAGCAGGAUACAACACUCUCUCCACGGCACAGUGUCGGUUCCCUGGAAACCUGAGGAGAUACCGAAAGCAUCGGGCAGUGGCUUCCCUUUGGCCCUGGAACUGGACAGACUCAAUGUCCCCCCCCUGGCCUGAAACGAGGCAGUCUGGACCGGAUAACUGAUCCAUAAUGCAACAGCUGAGGACCUUGAAGUGGUAAUGAAAUGCAUGCUGGGAGUGUUGGAGUGGAGCGCUACCUGGCCCUGUUUCAUCUCCAGAGGCUCUGUAAUGAAGUGGACCUGAACAAAACACACAGAACAAACCAUCAGCUGUUCUCAUAUCACUGACAUAUAGACCCUCUUCCUAUAUGUGUCUAUCAUAUAUCUAGUGAUAUUUCUAUACCAUGUACUGUAUAUAUGGCUGUGUGUUUAUAUCAUAUAUUGUGUAUAUAAUGUGUUUAUAUGAAUGUAUGGUUAUAAUGUGUAUAUAUGGCUGCCUACUAGGUGUGGGGGAAAAAUUGAUUCGCAUUUGAAUCGCGAUUCAGUCUUCUAGCGAUUCAUAUUGAUUCACAAAUUAUUAUUAAUUUGUUUUGUUUUUCUAACAAUGAGUUUACUAAACUGCAAGAAAAACAAUACAUUUCAAGGUUUUGAUGCAUUGGGAUUUUUUUGGGGAUUCUUCAACCCUUAACUGCCUAUCACAGUCAAAUAGAAACAAGUAACACUAAACAGCAAACUGGAAUCAAAUGUAAGCAUAUAUUGAAUCGAAAUUUGAUUA